UCUAAGAUGGAAAAUUGUUGUGGUUACCAUGGUCGUUACAAAAUAAUGCAAAAAACUAUGGUAGACCCAAGUUAGUUUUCAUUAUGAAAGAAUUUGCUUUUUUAUCAUUCCAUAUUCUGACCAUGAAUACCAAUCAACUGGCCACAAUCCUUGUUUUUACUGAAAUUGAAAAUCUGACUAUAACUUAACUUUCUGAUCACGUAUGCUGAUAUUGAUAUGAUAAUUGGUGUGUGAAAAAUAUAACCGUGAAUUGAUAAAUGUUUAAACAGGAAAAAGCAAAUAUCACAGCUCAGAUAGCUUAUCAAAUGUGACACAACCAUGCCAGCUUUUAUUCAAGAGGAACAGACAGUCUGAUUAAAUCCUGGGAGGGUGUGUGGCCUCCUAUAUAUCCACAUUGAACACACUAUAGUUCCAUUACAAUUCCAUAUAAGGUCUUUGAUAUAAUCAGCAUAAACUUGUAGAAAAACUUUUGGUCUAUAGAUCUGCAUCAUUCCUGCCAAUUCUACUGUAGUAGAAGUUACUAGACCAACUUCAUUAAGUCUCAGUUUUCUCCUCAGAAAAUAAUUAUCAAAAGCAAAUUGGGGAUUGAAAAUGUUAGUAAGCCCUACAAUAUUCCUUCACAGCUGCCAUGCCUAUCAGAAUCUGAUCUGAUGAUAUACAGCAGCAACAGCUCAAGAUAAAUGUUAGGCAGUCUCAGUUCUUUGAUUUGUUAAGCAUAUUUUUUUCAAUAUCAUAUUGGAUAAAAAUGUUUUCUGAUAGUAUUCAGAGAAUCAAACUCGGUAUACAUGGUGCUUAAUGGAAGAACUGUAGGCAGUAGGAAGGGCUGGAUCCUCUCUGGUUUUAUUUUGAGAGAAUACCCUGAAGUCAGUAUUUCAAGGCUAGAUCAAAUAAGUGCAGUCAGUAUACAGAGGGAAAGAGUCUUUAAAUGUUUAAUGAUUUAUAGUGUUUUGAUGCUGAUUUAAAGAAAAACUGCUUAUCAUUAUUUUUUUUCCAACCCUUGUGUAAACAAAAUUAAUAAUCUAAAAUCACAGUGGACAUGUCAUGUACUUACAUAUCAUCUAGGUGUCAGUGUUGAAUGAUUAUAUUUCCUUUUUUUCUUGGCUUUGUAAGUGAAGUAAAUACUUUGACAAAAUAUUUCUUUUUCCUUUCCAAAAUGCAGCACUGUACAGGAUGUGGGGUAAGUGGCGUCCAAAAAAUUCUUGCGCUUGAUAGGUUGAGAUUUCCUUACAGACAAACACACUGUUUAAUUGUUGAAGUAUGUGUUUAGAUGAAUACGGUAUUUCCUGCUGCGUAAGGUGCUGCAUGUCUUAGUAAAAGAAAUCCUUGGAAAAAAAAAAAAGGUUUAAAAUGGAAACACAAUGAUGAUUCUAGUCACGUGAGUGUUUUUCUCUUGUGUGCGUUGGGCUGAAGUUGUGCUUUGCUGCUCCAUAGCCAUGCUGUCUAGCAUACUUUAUUACUUGUAGCUGAAAACCAGAAGUAAUACUUUAGGGAAUUAUCAUCACAUUUUCACUCUCUGAAUGAAAGGAGACUGUUAUCAAAAAGGGAUAUUUAGGUAUGCAUUUGUGCUUGCUGUUGAGGUGGAUCAGUGUGGUAUAUAAUUGAAAUACUGACAUACAAUAUUUGGCUUUUAAUAUGGUCAGCCAUUAGUGUACAGGCAUAGCGUGAGCCUAUCCACUGAUCCACCAAAACAAAGCCUGUCAGCACUUGAGAAAUGCUUUAACCUAACAAUGCUGGGUGAAGAAAAUAAAUAAAAACUCUACGCUUUGGAGAUUAAAAGCAACAAGCUGACUUUGAGCCUGGGAGUUCGCUACAUCAAGCUGAACAUCUUAGUCGAAGUGCUCUGGUGCUUCGCAGUGGCAUGCAGCCAUACUGAGCAGACCGAGCGAUUUGUUAUGAUGCUGCAAGGUGUGACCUGGCAGUAACGAGUUAACAUAGUUAACACUUGCGUGUGUAUGUGCUUAUGGGCUUAGUAUAACUCUUGGACCUCUUUUACCUUGGGCAGAUCCAUGGUCAAACUAGUCAUGUUGUCAGAGGCAUUUUCUUUGAUGUUUAAGGGGGGGGGGUAAUGCAUCCCAAGUGGCAGGAAGUAUGGUAUGUCUUCUUUAUCCAUUUUUCUCUUUAUCAAUAUCUAUUUUUCUCUGCCUUUAUAUUUUCCUCUCUUUCAUUGAUUUUGCCCUUUCCCAAGAAAAUCAAAAAGAAAAAACAGGGAUGGAACUAAGGCAUAUUUAGCCUUUUUGUCUGCAUUGCUUCUCUUUCAUAUUCUCUUUUUAUUUGUCUCUUUGGCUCUCCUUGCCGGCUGUCUUGCUAGUCCCACCGUGACCCUCUCUUUGUCUUUCCAUUCCAGCUCUUUCCCUGGUCCCACUGAUCCUCUCUCUUCCCCUCUUCUAAUGCCUUAGGUCCACUUUCCUCUUUCCCUUUCUUCUCUUCACCUCUCGCCACUCUCUCUCAACCUCCCCCACCCCUUUUCCAUCAGUGAAAAAGAGGAAAGACGACUGUGCCUAACCUUGAGUCUUCCCCCCCACUUCCAGCCCCAGACCCAAACUUCAACCAGUUCAGCCCCAGUGGACCCAUGAACGGGACAGCAGCGGCAGCUGCUACAACCAACAAUGGGGCUUGGGCCAGCUUCAGCCAGCAGACACCACAGCAACAGCAGCCUAAUCCCAAAAUGCAGUGGAUGACCAGCAAUGGAACGGCAAACCCUUUCAUGGCUGCCCCACAGCUGCCUUCCAAUGGCACCUCCUACAACCCGUUCCUGUGAGAGUCCUCGCAGCCUCCGCAAGAUCUUCCUACGACAGGGACAUGUCUGUGAAACGUUUAUCUAUUGCCAAUGACCGAUGACCCCAGCCAUCUUUUCCUUGAAUACUCAGUUAAUUUAAUUUUUUUUUUUGUAACUUAUGCAGUGGUGUUUUAUGGAAAAAAUCCAUGUUGCCAAUCACAGUUUAGUUCUCGAUGUGAAAGCAUAUAAUCAUUAUGAAGAGCAGAAGGAAUACUGGAUGAUUAUGAUAAUUAUAAAGAAUAGAGAAGCAAAAGCAAACAAGUGUGAGCAACGCAGGUUUUUAGCUUAUAAGAGUUUUUAAACGCUUCAGUGUCGAGUUUAGGGUCUGAGUACCACAAUGGUCUUCUUUUUCUCUUCUGUGUGAAAAGGUUAAUUAUUGGGAUCAUGGGGACUGGUGGGCAUUUUUUAUGUAGUGUAGAAAGCAAGUGCUAAAGCAUCCUCAUUAAGGGCCAUGACCUGCUCUGUGGUCAUGGGAAAAGUUACAAACAACACAUUAAAUAUAAGCCUGUUGACUAUACUGAUGCAUUGUACAGAAUCAAAAUUGCCCAGAUUUUGCUGUAGUAAUCAAGUCAGUGCCCUUACUCCUACUCCCCCUCCCCCCCUCUCCUUUUCUAUUCUCUCUCUCUCUCUCUCUCUCUCUCUCUCUCUCUCUCUCUCUCUCUCUCUCUCUCUCUCUCUCUCUCUCUCUCUCUCUCUCUCUCUCUCUCUCUCUCUCUUUCUCUCUUUCUUUCUUUCUUUCUUUCUCCCGUCCCUCCCUCCCCCUCCUCCUUCCUCUCCAUUUAUACUCUUCAUAGUCCUCCUUUCACCACUCUGUGAGGAAAUGGAAUGUGAUCAUUUAUUUUCCUGUGGUGUUACAGGUGCAAAUCACAGAACAAAAUCAUAUUAUUACUUGUAGAUAAGAUUUCACCUUUGUUGCUCAUAAUUUCAUUGCAUUAUAGUCAUUGUGUUUAUUUAAUUAACUUGUUAAGGGGAAGUUCUCACAUAUGUCCAGAAUGUGAAGCUUGGGCAUUGUUGUGAAAACAAACAAACAAAAAAACAAAACAAAAAAAAUGUAUUUGAAUGUUCAAACUCACUUAAGAACCACAGAUGUUUGCAGGAGUUCAGGUUGGUGCUUCCGGUCUUGAAUGUGAGUGCAUGAAGGAACAGACAGCAUCUUUUGUUAACAUGAUUUAGGUUAUUGGAGUCUGUUGGCAGUUUUCCAAGGAAAUAUUCAAACAUUUAUUAUUUUUCUUGCUUUUUCUCUGUUUUUUUUUCACAAUUGAAGUCUCUUUCAGGGACUUUACAGUUCUUCCUCAUUUUUUAAUUUUUGUUUAAAACGAUAAAAUGUAUCUUGCAACACAAACCAGGAACAAUAGAAUAUUGAAAUGAAAAUUGUAUAGUCAAACUAA
Long non-coding RNA from Penaeus indicus, 4164 nucleotides. RefSeq lists it as uncharacterized. NCBI's taxonomy places the organism in Eukaryota, Metazoa, Arthropoda, Malacostraca, Decapoda, Penaeidae. The record is from RefSeq and is a predicted model, not a curated record. The transcript is spliced from 2 exons.